GACGAACGCUGGCGGCGCGCCUAACACAUGCAAGUCGAACGAGAGAUGAGGAGCUUGCUCUUCAAAUCGAGUGGCGAACGGGUGAGUAACGCGUGAGGAACCUGCCUCAAAGAGGGGGACAACAGUUGGAAACGACUGCUAAUACCGCAUAAGCCCACGGCUCGGCAUCGAGCAGAGGGAAAAGGAGUGAUCCGCUUUGAGAUGGCCUCGCGUCCGAUUAGCUGGUUGGUGAGGUAACGGCCCACCAAGGCGACGAUCGGUAGCCGGACUGAGAGGUUGAACGGCCACAUUGGGACUGAGACACGGCCCAGACUCCUACGGGAGGCAGCAGUGGGGAAUAUUGCACAAUGGGGGGGAACCCUGAUGCAGCGACGCCGCGUGGAGGAAGAAGGUCUUCGGAUUGUAAACUCCUGUUGUUGAGGAAGAUAAUGACGGUACUCAACAAGGAAGUGACGGCUAACUACGUG
Molecule: ribosomal RNA, 467 nt
Filed under: uncultured bacterium
Lineage: Bacteria
Description: bacterial SSU rRNA
Rfam family: Bacterial small subunit ribosomal RNA
Source: RNAcentral